Molecule: long non-coding RNA, 2263 nt
Filed under: Xyrichtys novacula (pearly razorfish)
Lineage: Eukaryota; Metazoa; Chordata; Actinopteri; Labriformes; Labridae
Source: RNAcentral
CACAGUCAUGUUUCCGAUCAGGAGGAGGAGGAGGAUUUCUGUGUCUUCUGUUGUGAUGAAGGACAGCUGUCAGUCAUCCAGUCUUCAACUCUCAGGACUAUAAAGUCUCUCAGAGCACUGGAGCAUGCUGCUGCUCAUGCAAACUCACUCUCUAUGGAAAUGCUCAGAUUAACUCCAACACGGCCUUAGAUUAUACACUUGAUGAUGAUGAAGAUGUUCAAUAAUGGAUCAAUCAAUUCAUCUCCUGAUUGAUCAAACAGCUUUCCUGACUUGUAUCAUGAAGGUUUAGGUUUGUUCUUCUUCAUCCAUCUAUUUGGAGAGAUUUCUUCAGUCCUAGCCCGAUGCUGAGGACAAUGAAUGUCAACUAUUCAGUAAAUCAAUAAAGAUCUUUAAAAACUGGAUUCAUUCAAAUGGACUACAUUGAAUUCUCUGCUUUCAUUGGAGCUCAAAGCUCUUGCAGACAGAGACACAUUUAGGUGACUUUGUUUGUGUCAGAGUCAGAGAGCCGUGUCUCUCUACAGUCAGAGGUUUUUGUACGGCGCCUCAAUGACUUUGUAUCACUGUGGUACACGUUCGGUGGAGGAACCAGACUGGAUCUUGGAAGUAAGUCAAAUAUAAAGUCUUUUUCUUUUGAGUCAGUCAUUUUUGUUUCUGAUUUCUUCUUUUGAAAGACUGAAGGAAAAAUAUUCGCGUUUCUUUUUCUUUUUGCAUGUUUUAGAGCGAGUGAAACUUUAGGGAUCCAGGUGUCAGUUAGAAACUAAAACUGUAUAAAAACUCCAAUUAAAUCUGAGUCCAUGAAAUAAUGAAGUGUUUCUAAUGUUGGUAUUCAGUUGGAUCCUGAGGGCUGGUAGGUUUAGUUCAGUCAGAGUCAGAGAGCCGUGUCUCUCUACAGUCAGAGGUUUUUGUACGGCGCCUCAAUGACUUUGUAUCACUGUGGUGGACUUUUGGUGGAGGAACCAGACUGCAUGUUGGAAGUAAGUUUCUAUUUUAAUGUCAAAUCUUUCAGUUCAACAUAGUGUAUAAAUUCUUAUUUGAAACAGAACUUUUUCUGUUGAAUUUGGACAUUUUGAUUUGAUCUUUUUUUAUUGAUCACUGUUGUUUCUUCACACGGAGGUUCAUUCAGGACAGUUACACUGAACAGUUUUUCACACAGUCUGGUCAUAAAAUGUCAAAAUUCUGAUCGACUUGAAGGUUGAAUUUUAUUUUGAGAAAAAUUUUUCACUUUUUUGAAAUUCAUUUAAACUCAUUUUCUAAAACUGCAUUUUGAACUCUUGAUGAUAUUGAUCUGAUUUGGACGUUUGAAGAUUUCCAACCCAGUGUCGACAUAAAAACCAUGAAGGAAAAAGAAGAACAUCUCUGAUCUCUUGAUGUCUUUUUAAAUGAGACUCUUUUGAACUCGACUGGUGAGGAUUUCAACUCACAUGAAGAACAUUAGAUCGUCUGACUGAUCGAUUGACUGACUGAUGAGUAUUGAUAUGUAUUUCCUCAGAAUAGUCAAAAGUGUAAUGUUUGAAUGGUCUGAUAGUGUUUGUGUUAUUUCAGUGAUUUUCAGUGGGGUUAGUCAGUGUGUGAGUGUCUCUGUGCUGAUGUGCAUGAGAGGUUUCUUAAAGGGAAGUGAAAGUCCAUGAAGAAGAAAAUCAACGUUCAACUUGAAAGCUGUCCCAGUGUCUGCUGUUUGAUUGACAGCUGUGUGCUCCCUGUCCUCUAAGCUGAUUGGUGUCUCCUAGGUGAUUCCCCUCCCAAACUGACGGUGCUGCCCCCCUCCAAAGACGAGCUGGAGCACAGGCAGGGGAAGGCCACGCUCAUGUGCCUGGCCAACAAGGGCUUCCCCUCAGACUGGACUCUGGUCUGGAAGGUGGACGGCAGCAGCAGCAGCAGCUGGGAGGAGAGCAGGAGCCCUGCGGUGCUGGAGAAGGAUGGUAAAUACACCUGGAGCAGCACCCUGAGGCUCCCUGCAGACCAGUGGGACAAGCUGGUCUCUGUGACCUGUGUGGCCACCCGGGGCUCCCAGACUCCAGUCUUACAGACCCUGAGGAGAGACGAGUGUUCCCAUUAGUGAUCUGAUUCACUGGGACCCUGAUUCAGUUUUUCCUCUCUUCCUGCUCUCAGUCUAAACUCUCUCUCUCUCUCUCUCUCUCUCUCUCUCUCUCUCUCUCUCUGGUUCUGUCCUUCAUUCAUGGUGUUUCAUGUUUCAGUGUUUCUGCUUUAGCUGAUGGAUUCAUGAUUUUAAAACAAUAAAGAUUUUCUCGUGUUUAUCAUCAAA